Molecule: ribosomal RNA, 253 nt
Filed under: uncultured bacterium
Lineage: Bacteria
Description: partial 16S ribosomal RNA
Rfam family: Bacterial small subunit ribosomal RNA
Source: RNAcentral
UACGUAGGGUGCGAGCGUUAAUCGGAAUUACUGGGCGUAAAGGGUGCGCAGGCGGCUUCGCAAGUCAGGCGUGAAAUCCCCGGGCUUAACCUGGGAAUGGCGCUUGAAACUACGGAGCUGGAGUAUGGCAGAGGGAGGUGGAAUUCCACGUGUAGCGGUGAAAUGCGUAGAGAUGUGGAGGAACACCGAUGGCGAAGGCAGCCUCCUGGGCCAAUACUGACGCUCAUGCACGAAAGCGUGGGGAGCAAACAGG